UCCAGCAGUAGUCAGCUGUCAGGACAGAACCAUUCCUGUGACAGUGUUACACUGCUGGGAGAGCAGUGUUCUGUCUUCUUCCUCCAGUUGCCUCCGUCACUGUUCUGGUGACGUCUGGCACUGGAUGAGGGCAGCGCUGUGCUUCCUUGAGAGUGCGCUAAGCAUUCACUUUGGCUGCUUAGUUCUAGUCUGGGAGCAGACACA
Small nucleolar RNA from Delphinapterus leucas (beluga whale), 204 nucleotides. Its record names the gene SNORA74. It matches the Rfam family "Small nucleolar RNA SNORA74". Rfam says of the family: U19 belongs to the H/ACA class of snoRNAs. snoRNAs bind a number of proteins (including dyskerin, Gar1p and Nop10p in the case of the H/ACA class) to form snoRNP complexes. This class are thought to guide the sites of modification of uridines to pseudouridines by forming direct base pairing interactions with substrate RNAs. NCBI's taxonomy places the organism in Eukaryota, Metazoa, Chordata, Mammalia, Artiodactyla, Monodontidae. The record is from Ensembl.